GACGAACGCUGGCGGCGUGCUUAACACAUGCAAGUCGAACGGUGAAGCGCCUUCCUUUUUGGUGGGUGUGGAUGAGUGGCGAACGGGUGAGUAACACGUGAGUAACCUGCCCCCUUCUUCUGGAUAACCGCAUGAAAGUGUGGCUAAUACGGGAUAUUCUGGGUCUGUCGCAUGAUGGGUCUGGGAAAGAUAUUGUUUCGGUGGGGGAUGGGCUCGCGGCCUAUCAGCUUGUUGGUGGGGUGAUGGCCUACCAAGGCGGUGACGGGUAGCCGGCCUGAGAGGGUGGACGGCCACAGAGGGGCUGCGACACGGCCAAGACUCCGAGGGGAGGCAGCAGGGGGGAAUAGUGAACAGUGGGCGAAAGGCUGAAGCAGCGACGCGGCGGGGGUGAUGGUGGCCUGCGGGUUAUGAACCUCUUUUGGGAGUGAAGCAGGCCUGCCUCGUAUGUGGGUGGGUUGACGGUAGCUGGAUAAGAAGCGCCGGCUAACUACGUG
This 494-nucleotide ribosomal RNA is filed under the name uncultured bacterium. RNAcentral describes it as "partial 16S ribosomal RNA". It matches the Rfam family "Bacterial small subunit ribosomal RNA", at positions 28 to 507 of the family's 1533-position model. The record is from RNAcentral.